AUGACUCGUUUGGAGCAUUUGCUCGUCACUCUGCACAAUUCUGUAGGGGAAUUAUGUCCAUUUUCUGCACUCUACUAGUUUUGAAAGUUGGUAUAUAACGCGGUAGUAUGUGUAAAGUUUUAUCCACUAAUUUUGUUUGUAAACUUGUGUUCGUGAACAGUACGAAGAAUAAUUUUCAUACCAAAUUUCGGAUUUCUGCGAUCAUCUGCAGAAAUCAUGAUCUUGAUGGCAGACCGGCUAACUGCUUUGGAAGCUCUGUUUCAGGUGCCUCAGUUUGAAAUACCUUAUGGGCCUUAGGAAUAAACCAAACCCCAACCAACAUCAAGGAACAAAAGCCAAGAAAAAAGCUAAGCAAAAAAGUACCUAAACGGACAAAGCAGUCAACACUAAGGUGAUGAACUGUUAUUGACUUACAUAGCAGCUUUUGCCCUGAAAAAGCAGGGCAAAAGUGUAAAUAGUGAAUCGAGAUCAGUUUGAGAUACCUCAUGCAGAAAGGCAAAAUGAAGAAAAUCAUCACAAAAGGAAGAAAUUCAAAAAACAUUGAAUAGAUGCAGAACCAAGAUGAAGCAGAGAAAAUAACCCUCAAAAAGAACAAAAGUAAUAAAUUGUUAUUGUGAA
Dendroctonus ponderosae (mountain pine beetle) is the source of this 618-nucleotide long non-coding RNA. RefSeq lists it as uncharacterized. The transcript is spliced from 3 exons. The record is from RefSeq and is a predicted model, not a curated record. NCBI's taxonomy places the organism in Eukaryota, Metazoa, Arthropoda, Insecta, Coleoptera, Curculionidae.